GUGCUCGCUUUUGCAGCACAUACACUAAAAUCAGAACAAUACAGAGAAGAUUUGCGUGGUCCCUGCACAAGGAUGACAUGCAAAUUUGUGAAGCGUUCCAUAAUUAA
Molecule: small nuclear RNA, 107 nt
Filed under: Salvator merianae (Argentine black and white tegu)
Lineage: Eukaryota; Metazoa; Chordata; Lepidosauria; Squamata; Teiidae
Source: RNAcentral